This 192-nucleotide ribosomal RNA is filed under the name uncultured bacterium. Its description in RNAcentral is "partial 16S ribosomal RNA". It matches the Rfam family "Bacterial small subunit ribosomal RNA", at positions 335 to 524 of the family's 1533-position model. The record is from RNAcentral.
ACUCCUACGGGAGGCAGCAGUGAGGAAUAUUGGACAAUGGAUGGAAAUCUGAUCCAGCCAUGCCGCGUGCGGGAAGAAGGUCCUAUGGAUUGUAAACCGCUUUUGUAUGGGAACAAUAAUAGCUACGUGUAGCUAGAUGAGUGUACCAUACGAAUAAGCAUCGGCUAACUCCGUGCCAGCAGCCGCGGUAAU